CCCUUAGAUGUUCUGGGCGGCCCGCGCACUACAAUGGCGUGUGCAGCGAGUGCCGAAGUAGAGUUUUCCGAGGUAUUCUUGCAAUGCUCGUUUUGAUGGGGAUAGACCCUUGCAACUGUUGGUUUUGAACGAGGAAUUCCUUGUAAGCAUGGUUUAUCAUCCGACGCUGAAUGCGUCCCUGCCCUUUGUACACACCGCCCGUCGCUCCUACCGAUGAGUCGUCCGGUGAAGUUCGUAGACCUCGUGAUCGCGGAUCACUGGGGGAAGCAAAAUGAACCUCGCGGUUUAGAGGAAGGAGAAGUCGUAACAA
Molecule: ribosomal RNA, 310 nt
Filed under: uncultured eukaryote
Lineage: Eukaryota
Description: partial 18S ribosomal RNA
Rfam family: Eukaryotic small subunit ribosomal RNA
Source: RNAcentral